RNAcentral lists this ribosomal RNA (443 nucleotides) under uncultured bacterium. RNAcentral describes it as "partial 16S ribosomal RNA". It matches the Rfam family "Bacterial small subunit ribosomal RNA", at positions 28 to 507 of the family's 1533-position model. The record is from RNAcentral.
GAUGAACGCUGGCGGCAUGCCUAACACAUGCAAGUCGAACGGUAAGGCCCUUCGGAGUACACGAGAGGCGGACGGCUGAGUAACGCGUAGGAACACACCCUGCAGCCAGGGAUAAGACACCGAAAGGUGUUCUAAUACCGCAUACGGUCUUCGGAUUAAAGCAUUUAUGCGCUGAAGGAGUGGCCUGCGUCAUAUUAGAUAGUUGGUGAGGUAAUGGCUCACCAAGUCGAUGAUGUGUAGCUGGUCUGGGAGGAUGAUCAGCCAGACUGGAACUGAGACACGGUCCAGACUCCUACGGGAGGCAGCAGUGAGGAAUAUUUCACAAUGAGCGAAAGCGUGAUGGAGCAAUGCCGCGUGCAGGAUGAAGGCCCUCGGGUUGUAAUCUGCUUUUAUAAGAGAAGAUUAUGACGGUAACUUAUGAAUAAGGGACGGCUAACUACGUG